Molecule: ribosomal RNA, 467 nt
Filed under: uncultured bacterium
Lineage: Bacteria
Description: partial 16S ribosomal RNA
Rfam family: Bacterial small subunit ribosomal RNA
Source: RNAcentral
GAUGAACGCUGGCGGCGUGCUUAACACAUGCAAGUCGAACGGAAAGGCCCAAGCUUUCUUGGGUACUCGAGUGGCGAACGGGUGAGUAACACGUGGGGGAUCUGCCCUUCACUGCGUGAUAUGCCUUGGAAACUGGGUCUAUUACCGGAUAUGACCACUUCUUGGAUGUUGUUGUGUAAAGAUUUGUCGUUGUGGUGUGAGCUCGCGGCCUAUCAGCUUGUUGGUGGGUUAAUGGCCUGCCAAGGCGUCGACGGGUAGCCGGUCUGAGAGGGUGUACGGCCACAUUGGGACUGAGAUAAGGCACAGACACGUACGGGAGGCAGCAGUGGGGAAUAUUGAACAAGGGGCGCAAGGCUGAUGCAGAGACGCUGCGUGGGGGAUGACGGCCUUAGGGUUGAAAAACAAUUUCGUUAGGAACGAAGCGUUUUGUGACGGUACCUGGAGAAGAAGCAACGGCUAACUACGUG